Molecule: ribosomal RNA, 989 nt
Filed under: uncultured Campylobacterota bacterium
Lineage: Bacteria; Pseudomonadati; Campylobacterota
Description: bacterial SSU rRNA
Rfam family: Bacterial small subunit ribosomal RNA
Source: RNAcentral
CAGCCGCCGCGGUAAUACGGAGGGUGCAAGCGUUACUCGGAAUCACUGGGCGUAAAGCGCGCGCAGGCGGCUAUUUAAGUUGGAUGUGAAAGCCUACGGCUCAACCGUAGAACUGCAUCCAAAACUAUUUAGCUAGAGUGUGGGAGAGGAAGAUGGAAUUAGUUGUGUAGGGGUAAAAUCCGUAGAGAUAACUAGGAAUACCAAAAGCGAAGGCAAUCUUCUGGAACACUACUGACGCUGAGGCGCGAAAGCGUGGGGAGCAAACAGGAUUAGAUACCCUGGUAGUCCACGCAGUAAACGAUGAAUGUUAGUCGUCGGGUAGCUAGUCUAUUCGGUGAUGCAGCUAACGCAUUAAACAUUCCGCCUGGGGAGUACGGUCGCAAGAUUAAAACUCAAAGGAAUAGACGGGGACCCGCACAAGUGGUGGAGCAUGUGGUUUAAUUCGAAGAUACGCGAAGAACCUUACCUGGCCUUGACAUAUAUUAGAACACCCUAGAGAUAGAGUGGUGCCUUCGGGAGCUUUUAUACAGGUGCUGCACGGCUGUCGUCAGCUCGUGUCGUGAGAUGUUGGGUUAAGUCCCGCAACGAGCGCAACCCUCGUCACUAGUUACUAACGGUUCGGCCGAGGACUCUAGUGAGACUGCCUUCGCAAGGAGGAGGAAGGUGAGGACGACGUCAAGUCAUCAUGGCCCUUACGGCCAGGGCAACACACGUGCUACAAUGGUUAGGACAAUGAGACGCAAUACCGCGAGGUGGAGCAAAUCUAUAAACCUAAUCUCAGUUCGGAUUGUUCUCUGCAACUCGAGAGCAUGAAGCUGGAAUCACUAGUAAUCGUAGAUCAGCUAUGCUACGGUGAAUACGUUCCCGGGUCUUGUACUCACCGCCCGUCACACCAUGGGAGUUGAUUUCACCCGAAGCGGGGAAGCUAAACUGGCUACCCUCCACGGUGGAAUUAGCGACUGGGGUGAAGUCGUAACAAGGUAGCCGUA